This 75-nucleotide transfer RNA is filed under the name Candidatus Woesearchaeota archaeon. RNAcentral's name for it is "tRNA-Gly". It matches the Rfam family "tRNA". From Rfam's summary of the family: Transfer RNA (tRNA) molecules are approximately 80 nucleotides in length. Their secondary structure includes four short double-helical elements and three loops (D, anti-codon, and T loops). Further hydrogen bonds mediate the characteristic L-shaped molecular structure. tRNAs have two regions of fundamental functional importance: the anti-codon, which is responsible for specific mRNA codon recognition, and the 3' end, to which the tRNAs corresponding amino acid is attached (by aminoacyl-tRNA synthetases). tRNAs cope with the degeneracy of the genetic code in two manners: having more than one tRNA (with a specific anti-codon) for a particular amino acid; and 'wobble' base-pairing, i.e. permitting non-standard base-pairing at the 3rd anti-codon position. Lineage: Archaea; Nanobdellati; Candidatus Woesearchaeota. The record is from RNAcentral.
GCGCCUGUAGUUUAAUGGCUAGAAUCCGGGCCUUCCAAGCCUGUGAUCUGGGUUCGAAUCCCAGCAGGCGCACCA